Molecule: ribosomal RNA, 497 nt
Filed under: uncultured bacterium
Lineage: Bacteria
Description: partial 16S ribosomal RNA
Rfam family: Bacterial small subunit ribosomal RNA
Source: RNAcentral
GAUGAACGCUGGCGGCGUGCCUAAUACAUGCAAGUCGAGCGAACAGACGAGGAGCUUGCUCCUCUGACGUUAGCGGCGGACGGGUGAGUAACACGUGGAUAACCUACCUAUAAGACUGGGAUAACUUCGGGAAACCGGCGCUAAUACCGGAUAAUAUAUUGAACCGCAUGGUUCAAUAGUGAAAGACGGUUUUGCUGUCACUUAUAGCUGGAUCCGCGCCGCAUUAGCUAGUUGGUAAGGUAACGGCUUACCAAGGCAACGAUGCGUAGCCGACCUGAGAGGGUGAUCGGCCACCCUGGAACUGAGACGCGGUCCAGACUCCUACGGGAGGCAGCAGUAGGGAAUCUUCCGCAGUGGGCGAAAGCCUGACGGAGCAACGCCGCGUGAGUGAUGAAGGUCUUCGGAUCGUAAAACUCUGUUAUUAGGGAAGAACAAAUGUGUAAGUAACUAUGCACGUCUUGACGGUACCUAAUCAGAAAGCCACGGCUAACUACGUG